RNAcentral lists this ribosomal RNA (427 nucleotides) under uncultured prokaryote. RNAcentral's name for it is "bacterial SSU rRNA". It matches the Rfam family "Bacterial small subunit ribosomal RNA", at positions 355 to 774 of the family's 1533-position model. The record is from RNAcentral.
UGGGGAAUUUUGGACAAUGGGCGCAAGCCUGAUCCAGCCAUGCCGCGUGAGUGAAGAAGGCCUUCGGGUUGUAAAGCUCUUUCGGUUGGGAAGAAAUUGCUUCGGUUAAUACCCGGAGUAGAUGACGGUACCAGCAUAAGAAGCACCGGCUAACUACGUGCCAGCAGCCGCGGUAAUACGUAGGGUGCGAGCGUUAAUCGGAAUUACUGGGCGUAAAGCGUGCGCAGGCGGUUGUGUAAGUCAGAUGUGAAAUCCCCGGGCUCAACCUGGGAACUGCAUUUGGGAGUGGACGGCUAUAGGGUGGCGGAGGGGGGUGGAAUUCCACGGGUAGCAGUGAAAUGCGUAGAGAUGUGGAGGAACACCGAUGGCGAAGGCAGCCCCCUGGGCCAAUACUGACGCUCAUGCACGAAAGCGUGGGGAGCAAACA